CCUACGGGGGGCAGCAGUAGGGAAUCUUUCACAAUGGGCGAAAGCCUGAUGGAGCAACGCCGCGUGCAGGAUGAAGGCCUUCGGGUUGUAAACUGCUUUUAUAAGCGAGAAAUAUGAUGGUAACUUAUGAAUAAGGAUCGGCUAACUACGUGCCAGCAGCCGCGGUCAUACGUAGGAUCCGAGCAUUAUCCGGAGUGACUGGGUGUAAAGAGUUGCGUAGGUGGCAUAAUAAGUAGCUAGUGAAAUCUGGUGGCUCAACCAUUCAGACUAUUAGCUAAACUAUUAAGCUCGAGACCGUUAGGGGUAACUGGAAUUUCUAGUGUAGGAGUGAAAUCCGUAGAUAUUAGAAGGAACACCAAUAGCGUAGGCAGGUUGCUGGGACGGUUCUGACACUAAGGCACGAAAGCGUAGGGAGCAAACGGGAUUAGAUACCCCUGUAGUC
Molecule: ribosomal RNA, 442 nt
Filed under: uncultured bacterium
Lineage: Bacteria
Description: partial 16S ribosomal RNA
Rfam family: Bacterial small subunit ribosomal RNA
Source: RNAcentral